This 73-nucleotide transfer RNA is filed under the name Candidatus Kaiserbacteria bacterium CG10_big_fil_rev_8_21_14_0_10_45_20. Its description in RNAcentral is "tRNA-Phe". It matches the Rfam family "tRNA". Rfam says of the family: Transfer RNA (tRNA) molecules are approximately 80 nucleotides in length. Their secondary structure includes four short double-helical elements and three loops (D, anti-codon, and T loops). Further hydrogen bonds mediate the characteristic L-shaped molecular structure. tRNAs have two regions of fundamental functional importance: the anti-codon, which is responsible for specific mRNA codon recognition, and the 3' end, to which the tRNAs corresponding amino acid is attached (by aminoacyl-tRNA synthetases). tRNAs cope with the degeneracy of the genetic code in two manners: having more than one tRNA (with a specific anti-codon) for a particular amino acid; and 'wobble' base-pairing, i.e. permitting non-standard base-pairing at the 3rd anti-codon position. Lineage: Bacteria; Candidatus Kaiseribacteriota. The record is from RNAcentral.
GCCGAGAUAACUCAGUUGGUAGAGUGCAUCCCUGAAGAGGAUGAAGUCGCCGGUUCGAGCCCGGCUCUCGGCA